RNAcentral lists this long non-coding RNA (527 nucleotides) under Ananas comosus (pineapple). RNAcentral describes it as "long non-coding RNA (ACOM_LNC018342)". Lineage: Eukaryota; Viridiplantae; Streptophyta; Magnoliopsida; Poales; Bromeliaceae. The record is from RNAcentral.
CAUUUAAAAAAACAUAAAAGCUAGCAGUGCAGAAUAGAGCACUAUAUGUUAGAUGUGACUCGAAAUUGAUAAUCGACUUCAGUUCGGAAUUUCGACUCGCCGACAAUUUUACGGUACGAUCAAAUUGAAAAAUAAAAUUGUGAAGAAAAAAUGAAUAUAUGUGAUGGAUAGCGGAGGGCUCGGGCCGACAGGCCCAAAUCCGUAGAGGCGAUAGAUUGUGGUUCCUUGUACUUGAACAUUAUAUUUUUUUCUUUCUCGAUAGUAAAGUUCUCUCCUUCCUUGCCCGUUAUUUUUUUCUGCAAAUAAUUUUUCACGUAAAUUUGUGUUUCUCUUUUAUUUCUGCUUAUGGUUUGAUUAUAUUUCGUGUCUAGCAUUUUUGUUUCUGUUUGUGCGUUUGUCGUAACACUAUCGAAAUAGUACUAUCUCACUAACAAACUCUCAAAAUAAUAAUAUAUCGCUAAUUAAAUUACCUAUAAUCACUAAAACCCUUCACUAAUUAAACAAACUACAGCAGUAGCUACAACGAC